AGUCGCCGAGCCGGUCAGCAGCGUGCACGGAGAUCUUCACUCUGCGCCCAGCCCCGGGACACAGGUGCAGAUCUCCAGCGGAGCACUGCGGAGUGCGCGCCGUCGAGCACUAGGGAAUCCUAGACGGAGGACUUGGUCCAUUCCACGCAGUCCCAGGCAGGUCCGCAGCGGAGGGACGCAGCGGUCUCCAACUCCUGGUCACGACUUCGGCGACCCUCCACCCCCUGAGAGACCUGGUCCCACGGAGCUGUCCCCCCAGGAGCCGCAGCGGGAAUAGCAAAGCAAAGGGGACCACUCAGCCCCCAGGAGGAGCCCUGAAGCAAAAAGGUUGCUGCGGGGAGCCACGUUCCCUCUGGUUCACCUCGAAGCCCAGGAGCUCCGGUCCCUGGACCAAGGAGUGAACAGACCUGAGGAAGAGGUGCAAGCUUAAAGUGUUGCUGCCAGACCUUUCUUCUCUUCUAAUGUACCAAGUGAAGAAUGUUGAAAUAUCCAACUAUAAUUUGUGGAUUUCUCCUUUCAAUGCUAUCAUUUUUGGUGCUUCAUGUAUUUUUGAAGCUCUAUUAUUAGACAGAGUCUUACUUUGUCGCCCAGGCUGGAGUUCAGUGGCACAAUCAGGGCUUACUGCAGCCUCAACCUUCCAGGCUCGAGUGAUCCUCCCUGCUCAGCCCCUGGUGGGACUACAGGGAUGCGCCACCAUGCCCAGCUAAUUUUUUUUUAGUAGAGAUGGGUUUUUGCCUGCCUGCCUGCUUUCCUUCCUUCCUUCCUUCCUUCCUUCCUCCCUUCCUUCCUUCCUUCCUUCCUUCUUCAGGGUCUUCCUCUGUCACUCAAACUGGAGUGCAGUGGUAUUAUCUCAGCUUACUGCAACCUCCACCUCCCGGGUUCAAGCAAUUCUCAUGCCUCAGCCUCCCAAGUAGCUGGGAUCACAGGUAUGUGUCAUGAUACCUGGCUAAUUUUUGUGUUUUUUCUAAAGAUGGGGUUUCGCAAUGUUGACCAGGCUGAUCUUGAACUCCUGGCCUCAGGUGAUCCACCCACUUCGGCCUCCCAAACUGUUGGGAUUACAGGCGUGAGCCAUCAAGCCUGACCUCAAGUUCCCUCUUUCUAAUCUGGAAUUGAGAAUAGCACUAGCAUCCAGGCCCACCUCAAAGGGUCAGACUGAAGUUCAGAUGGCCCAAGGAUGCACUAGAAAGUUCUUUAUGCAAUGUAAAUGAGAGUUGCCUACUCUUGUCAGGCUCAAGUACCUUCACUCUACAGGCAACUGGCUACAGGCUUCUCACCCUGAGCGGUGGUCAGCUCAGCCAACUCACCCUCUCCACCCUCCUCCCUCCCUCCUUUUUCACAGGAAACUUAAGAGUCAGAUCUCUUCCACUGCAAAUGGAGAUUCUUGAUUUGGAGAGAAUAAGAUAAAGGACCUGACAUCAAUCCUUACUCUUGAAAGCAUGUUGUUACUUUCUAAAUAUUAUUGAAAUUAAAAAAAAAAAAUCUUCCCCCCAAAUCAGUAUAUUUGAAUUGCUAACAAGCCUCUCUGCCUUGUUUUUAUCUCAAAGAAUAAAAUGCUGAGCCCUGCGUGGGAUGCUAGAUGCUAGAGAACUCC
This 1591-nucleotide long non-coding RNA is filed under the name Homo sapiens (human). Its description in RNAcentral is "HSALNT0390449". The record is from RNAcentral. Lineage: Eukaryota; Metazoa; Chordata; Mammalia; Primates; Hominidae.